Long non-coding RNA from Sebastes umbrosus (honeycomb rockfish), 484 nucleotides. RefSeq lists it as uncharacterized. Lineage: Eukaryota; Metazoa; Chordata; Actinopteri; Perciformes; Sebastidae. The transcript is spliced from 3 exons. The record is from RefSeq and is a predicted model, not a curated record.
CCAGGAAGUUGUUCAAAUCGUGCUGCUGGAUCGACGCUUGUCAGUACUGCGCAUGCGCAGACUUCUUCUGCAUGGCCGUGCCUCCUCAGAUGAUGAUGAAAGAUGAUUAUUGUCACGCUGGUUAUACAGGACUCAGGACAGAGCAGGACGGAGCUCUUUUACCCCGAGAGUUCACAGAACAGACCCCCACCCAAUUUACAGCUUAAUCUGAGGAGGAAAUGAAUAAAUGACAGGAUUUCACUUCUACAGUACUGCCCAGAGCUUUGACCCUCUUGUUGGGGGUUUCCCAGAGCCUCGCCACCUCUAACUGGACACAGUGAGUAUUGCCAAAAGUAUGUAACAUUCACUGUUUAUCCUGACAUAUACCUUUAACCUGUAAAGUAAUGGUUUCACACUAUGAUUUUCAAGUGAAUCGUGUAUAAUACAGUGUGCCAAACCAGGUGCUCAGUAUAUUACAAAGGAUUAUUUACUGAGAAGUAUCUGA